Molecule: non-coding RNA, 393 nt
Organism: Pelodiscus sinensis (Chinese soft-shelled turtle)
Lineage: Eukaryota; Metazoa; Chordata; Testudines; Trionychidae
Source: RefSeq, a predicted model, not a curated record
CUAGAAAUACCGGGAUCCCCAGCCCAGCACCUCACCGGCCUCCAGCCUCCCUCUCUGCUCCUCUGCUCUGCAGCCCUGCUGAGACCCCAGCCCCCUCCAGCCAUGAGGAUCCUCCACCUGGUGUUUGCUGUUCUCCUGCUGGUCUCCUUGGCUGCUCCAGGCCUAGGGCAGAAGAAGGGCUGUGCUGGUCGCUGCGACUGGAAAUGCGGCAAAUACGAGUAUGAGACCUACACGUACGACUGCCCCAAGUCCUACUGCUGCCUCCCCCUCAAAAAGUGGAAAUGAGCCCGGAGGGAUCCACCCGCCCUGGACCAGGAGCAGCCGCGGCAGCGGGUCCCCGACUCCCCACAGAAAUGUCGUUCCCUCCCCCCAUUAAACGAGAGCAGGCCUGGC